UGGAGUCUGCAACUCGACUCCAUGAAGUCGGAAUCGCUAGUAAUCGUAGAUCAGAAUGCUACGGUGAAUACGUUCCCGGGCCUUGUACACACCGCCCGUCACACCAUGGGAGUGGGUUGCAAAAGAAGUAGGUAGCUUAACCUUCGGGAGGGCGCUUACCACUUUGUGAUUCAUGACUGGGGUGAAGUCGUAACAAGGUAACCGUAGGGGAACCUGCGGUUGGAUCACCUCCUUA
RNAcentral lists this non-coding RNA (235 nucleotides) under Klebsiella pneumoniae. Its description in RNAcentral is "partial 16S ribosomal RNA". It matches the Rfam family "Bacterial small subunit ribosomal RNA", at positions 1299 to 1533 of the family's 1533-position model. Lineage: Bacteria; Pseudomonadati; Pseudomonadota; Gammaproteobacteria; Enterobacterales; Enterobacteriaceae. RNAcentral also lists the same sequence under 1 other name. The record is from RNAcentral.